CACGUAGGUGGCAAGCGUUGUCCGGAAUUAUUGGGCGUAAAGCGCGCGCAGGCGGCCUCUUAAGUCUGAUGUGAAAGCCCCCGGCUCAACCGGGGAGGGCCAUUGGAAACUGGGAGGCUUGAGUAUAGGAGAGAAGAGUGGAAUUCCACGUGUAGCGGUGAAAUGCGUAGAGAUGUGGAGGAACACCAGUGGCGAAGGCGACUCUUUGGCCUAUAACUGACGCUGAGGCGCGAAAGCGUGGGGGAGCAAACAGG
Molecule: ribosomal RNA, 254 nt
Filed under: uncultured bacterium
Lineage: Bacteria
Description: partial 16S ribosomal RNA
Rfam family: Bacterial small subunit ribosomal RNA
Source: RNAcentral